This 497-nucleotide ribosomal RNA is filed under the name uncultured bacterium. RNAcentral's name for it is "partial 16S ribosomal RNA". It matches the Rfam family "Bacterial small subunit ribosomal RNA", at positions 28 to 507 of the family's 1533-position model. The record is from RNAcentral.
GAUGAACGCUGGCGGCGUGCCUAAUACAUGCAAGUCGAGCGAACAGACGAGGAGCUUGCUCCUCUGACGUUAGCGGCGGACGGGUGAGUAACACGUGUAUAACCUACCUAUAAGACUGGUAUAACUUCGGGAAACCGGAGCUAAUACCGGAUAAUAUAUUGAACCGCAUGGUUCAAUAGUGAAAUACGGUUUUGCUGUCACUUCUCGAUGGAUCCGCGCCGCAUUAGAUAGUUGGUAAGGUAACGGCUUACCAAGGCAACGAUGCGUAGCCGACCUGAGAGGGUGAUCGGCGACACUGGAACUGAGACACGGUCCAGACUCCUACGGGAGGCAGCAGUCGGGAAUCUUCCGCAAUGGGCGAAAGCCUGACGGAGCAGCGCCGCGAGAGUGAUGAAGGUCUUCGGAUCGUAAAACUCUGUUAUUAGGGAAGAACAAAUGUGUAAGUAACUAUGCACGUAUUGACGGUACCUAGUCAGAAAGCCACGGCUAACUACGUG